GCCUCGAUAGCUCAGUUGGGAGAGCGUCAGACUGAAGAUCUGAAGGUCCCCGCUCGAUCCCGGGUCGCGGCA
Molecule: transfer RNA, 72 nt
Filed under: Phytophthora infestans (potato late blight agent)
Lineage: Eukaryota; Oomycota; Peronosporomycetes; Peronosporales; Peronosporaceae
Also listed under: 1 other name
Description: tRNA-Phe
Rfam family: tRNA
About the family: Transfer RNA (tRNA) molecules are approximately 80 nucleotides in length.
Source: RNAcentral